ACUUACAUGCCUGUACAACCUGGUGUUUUGUGUCACCAGGUCUCUGAAAGAUGAAGCACAACAACCUCUCUGUGGAGUGUUAAACUGAAGUCCUGAACCAGUGGCCCUGACCUGUGACAGCUCAGCUACAGCUUCACUGCAGACCAAGGCUGCCUGCCAUGAGGUGUAUAGUCAUUAGGGUUGGUGUGUAGUUCCAGAAGAAUGCAGAUGAGUGCAGGUCUCAGCAUCUCCGGCAUCAGCAGUUCCAAGAUGGAGCUGCACAACAUAAGAGGAGGAGGUCCAUUCCAAGUCCUGUACACGCUGGUCCCCGCAGGAGAGUUCCAGCCCUGGCCUGGCAGACCCCUCCAUAACUAUUGAUUCAACAUGAAGAGUGUGUGAGCAGAUGGACGACUUACCUUCCUCUUGAAGUGGUGUGACUGAGGAGGGAUCUAUGCCUCCUGGAAGUCUCCAGUCAUGAGUGUCUCCGGGGUGAAGCGUCAGCGGAAGCGUCAGUGCAGCGUCAGGCAGUGUCAGCCUGUGCCGGCCUGCUCCCGGCCGCGCUUCCUCAGACCGCUUAGUGCGAAGACCCGUGGGCAAAGACUAAGCGAGGGCCAGGACAGCGAGGGCUGGGGAUUAGCGAGGGUAGGGGUAUGCGAGUCCACCUGCGCGAGUCAACCGAGCAGAGGCAAACGAGGAGAGGCACCACGGAAGACCCCUGGUCCCCCUGGCUGGUAGAAGUUCCCCACUCCCUUUGGCUCCAUGCUGGUCCUCCUUCACCAACUACCUUGCUCAGGCUUCAGGCAGUGGUAGGCCUUGGUGGAAGGUGGACUCUGGAGGAACAUCCAACCUCAUACCAACAAUCCUUGCAACAUGUUCCAAAACAAAUCUGUAUUACAACUAAACAUUUCUUCUUCUCUGCUGCAAUCCAUAACUGCCUUGGUCUGCCAAUGUCACACUCAUGAUUGAUUCCCUGCUCAAAGGAACCUCCACUCCUCCAUGCUAUGCUAACUUGCUAAGGUGGUGGAAGGCCUCAGGAACACUCCAACCUCCAUACCAUCUGCACAUACCAACAAUCCUUCAAACAUGCUUCAUGUCCAACAACAAGUCUCUAUUAAAGCAAAAGCUGUGUUGUU
Molecule: long non-coding RNA, 1112 nt
Organism: Notolabrus celidotus (New Zealand spotty)
Lineage: Eukaryota; Metazoa; Chordata; Actinopteri; Labriformes; Labridae
Exons: 8
Source: RefSeq, a predicted model, not a curated record